Molecule: ribosomal RNA, 253 nt
Filed under: uncultured bacterium
Lineage: Bacteria
Description: partial 16S ribosomal RNA
Rfam family: Bacterial small subunit ribosomal RNA
Source: RNAcentral
UACGAAGGGGGCUAGCGUUGUUCGGAUUUACUGGGCGUAAAGCGCACGUAGGCGGAUCGUUAAGUCGGGGGUGAAAUCCUGGAGCUCAACUCCAGAACUGCCUUCGAUACUGGCGAUCUUGAGUCCGGAAGAGGUGAGUGGAAUUCCUAGUGUAGAGGUGGAAUUCAUAGAUAUUAGGAAGAACACCAGUGGCGAAGGCGGCUCACUGGUCCGGUACUGACGCUGAGGUGCGAAAGCGUGGGGAGCAAACAGG